RNAcentral lists this ribosomal RNA (253 nucleotides) under uncultured bacterium. RNAcentral describes it as "partial 16S ribosomal RNA". It matches the Rfam family "Bacterial small subunit ribosomal RNA", at positions 524 to 776 of the family's 1533-position model. The record is from RNAcentral.
UACGUAGGGUGCAAGCGUUGUCCGGAAUUAUUGGGCGUAAAGGGUAGGUAGGUGGUCUUGUUUGUCUAGGGUGAAAUCCCAGGGCUUAACCCUGGAAGUGCCCUAGAAACGGCAAGACUAGAGUUCUAGAGGGGGUCGUGGAAUUCCCGGUGUAGCGGUGAAAUGCGUAGAGAUCGGGAGGAACACCAGCGGCGAAGGCGGCGACCUGGAUAGAUACUGACACUCAACUACGAAAGCGUGGGGAUCAAACAGG